GCGCCUGUGGCGGAAUUGGCAGACGCGCAAGGUUCAGGUCCUUGUGGCCGUAAGGUCGUGGAGGUUCAAGUCCUCUCAGGCGCA
This 84-nucleotide transfer RNA is filed under the name Planctomycetota bacterium. RNAcentral's name for it is "tRNA-Leu". It matches the Rfam family "tRNA". From Rfam's summary of the family: Transfer RNA (tRNA) molecules are approximately 80 nucleotides in length. Their secondary structure includes four short double-helical elements and three loops (D, anti-codon, and T loops). The record is from RNAcentral. Lineage: Bacteria; Pseudomonadati; Planctomycetota.